UAACGCGUGAGUAACCUGCCCUGGAGUGGGGGACAACAGUUGGAAACGACUGCUAAUACCGCAUAAGCCCACGGAUCUGCAUGGAUCUGCGGGAAAAGGAUUUAUUCGCUUCAGGAUGGACUCGCGUCCAAUUAGCUAGUUGGUGAGGUAACGGCCCACCAAGGCGACGAUUGGUAGCCGGACUGAGAGGUUGAACGGCCACAUUGGGACUGAGACACGGCCCAGACUCCUACGGGAGGCAGCAGUGGGGGAUAUUGCACAAUGGGGGAAACCCUGAUGCAGCGACGCCGCGUGGAGGAAGAAGGUUUUCGGAUUGUAAACUCCUGUCGUUAGGGACGAUAAUGGCGGUACCUAACAAGAAAGCACCGGCUAACUACGUGCCAGCAGCCGCGGUAAAACGUAGGGUGCAAGCGUUGUCCGGAAUUACUGGGUGUAAAGGGAGCGCAGGCGGACCGGCAAGUUGGAAGUGAAAACUAUGGGCUCAACCCAUAAAUUGCUUUCAAAACUGCUGGCCUUGAGUAGUGCAGAGGUAGGUGGAAUUCCCGGUGUAGCGGUGGAAUGCGUAGAUAUCGGGAGGAACACCAGUGGCGAAGGCGACCUACUGGGCACCAACUGACGCUGAGGCUCGAAAGCAUGGGUAGCAAACAGGAUUAGAUACCCUGGUAGUCCAUGCCGUAAACGAUGAUUACUAGGUGU
RNAcentral lists this ribosomal RNA (696 nucleotides) under uncultured bacterium. Its description in RNAcentral is "bacterial SSU rRNA". It matches the Rfam family "Bacterial small subunit ribosomal RNA", at positions 111 to 823 of the family's 1533-position model. The record is from RNAcentral.